This 917-nucleotide ribosomal RNA is filed under the name uncultured Sulfuritalea sp. RNAcentral describes it as "bacterial SSU rRNA". It matches the Rfam family "Bacterial small subunit ribosomal RNA", at positions 114 to 1026 of the family's 1533-position model. The record is from RNAcentral. Lineage: Bacteria; Pseudomonadati; Pseudomonadota; Betaproteobacteria; Nitrosomonadales; Sterolibacteriaceae.
UGUAUCGGAACGUACCCAGUCGUGGGGGAUAACUAUCCGAAAGGAUAGCUAAUACCGCAUACGUCCUGAGGGAGAAAGCGGGGGAUCGCAAGACCUCGCGCGAUUGGAGCGGCCGAUAUCGGAUUAGCUAGUUGGUGGGGUAAAGGCUCACCAAGGCGACGAUCCGUAGCGGGUCUGAGAGGACGACCCGCCACACUGGAACUGAGACACGGUCCAGACUCCUACGGGAGGCAGCAGUGGGGAAUUUUGGACAAUGGGGGAAACCCUGAUCCAGCCAUUCCGCGUGAGUGAAGAAGGCCUUCGGGUUGUAAAGCUCUUUCAGCAGGAACGAAACGGUCGGCUUUAAUACAGUCGGCUAAUGACGGUACCUGCAGAAGAAGCACCGGCUAACUACGUGCCAGCAGCCGCGGUAAUACGUAGGGUGCGAGCGUUAAUCGGAAUUACUGGGCGUAAAGCGUGCGCAGGCGGCGACAUAAGACAGAUGUGAAAUCCCCGGGCUCAACCUGGGAACUGCGUUUGUGACUGUGUUGCUAGAGUGUAGCAGAGGGGGGUGGAAUUCCACGUGUAGCAGUGAAAUGCGUAGAGAUGUGGAGGAACACCGAUGGCGAAGGCAGCCCCCUGGGUUAACACUGACGCUCAUGCACGAAAGCGUGGGGAGCAAACAGGAUUAGAUACCCUGGUAGUCCACGCCCUAAACGAUGCCAACUAGGUGUUGGGGAAGGAGACUUCCUUAGUACCGUAGCUAACGCGUGAAGUUGGCCGCCUGGGGAGUACGGUCGCAAGAUUAAAACUCAAAGGAAUUGACGGGGACCCGCACAAGCGGUGGAUGAUGUGGAUUAAUUCGAUGCAACGCGAAAAACCUUACCUACCCUUGACAUGUCCGGAAUCCCGAAGAGAUUUGGGAGUGCUCGAAAGAG